CAGCAGCCGCGGUAAUACAGAGGGUGCAAGCGUUAUCCGGAUUUAUUAGGUUUAAAGGGUGCGUAGGCGGAAACUUAAGUCAGUGGUAAAAGGCAGUAGCUUAACUAUUGUAAUGCCAUUGAAAGUGGGUUUCUUGAGUUCGGUAGAGGUAGGCGGAAUGUGUUGUGUAGCGGUGAAAUGCAUAGAUAUAACACAGAACACCGAUUGCGAAGGCAGCUUACUAUGCCGUUACUGACGCUAAGGCACGAAAGCGUGGGUAUCAAACAGGAUUAGAUACCCUGGUAGUCCACGCUGUAAACGAUGAUUACUCGUUGUUGGCAAUACAUCGUCAGCGACUAAGCGAAAGCAUUAAGUAAUCCACCUGGGGAGUACGUUCGCAAGAAUGAAACUCAAAGGAAUUGACGGGGGCCCGCACAAGCGGAGGAGCAUGUGGUUUAAUUCGAUGAUACGCGAGGAACCUUACCUGGGCUUAAAUGUAGAGUGCAUUAUUUGGAAACAGAUAUUUCCUUCGGGACUCUUUACAAGGUGCUGCAUGGUUGUCGUCAGCUCGUGCCGUGAGAUGUCCGGUUAAGUCCCAUAACGAGCGCAACCCUCAUUGCCAGUUGCCAUCACGUAAAGGUGGGGACUCUGGUGAAACUGCCGGUGUAAACCGCGAGGAAGGUGGGGAUGACGUCAAAUCAGCACGGCCCUUAUGUACAGGGCUACACACGUGUUACAAUGGCCAAUACAAUGGGCAGCCACCUGGCAACAGGGAGCAAAUCCCACAAAAUUGGUCUUAGUUCGGAUCGGAGUCUGCAACUCGACUCCGUGAAGCUGGAUUCGCUAGUAAUCGUACAUCAGCAAUGGUACGGUGAAUACGUUCCCGGGCCUUGUACACACCGACCGUCAAGCCAUGGAAGUUGGGGGCGCCUGAAGUACGUAACCGCAAGGAUCGGACUAGGGUAAGUCUAAUGACUGGGGCUAAGUCGUAACAAGGUAGCCGUA
RNAcentral lists this ribosomal RNA (984 nucleotides) under uncultured bacterium BURTON-42. RNAcentral's name for it is "bacterial SSU rRNA". It matches the Rfam family "Bacterial small subunit ribosomal RNA", at positions 509 to 1504 of the family's 1533-position model. The record is from RNAcentral. Lineage: Bacteria; Pseudomonadati; Bacteroidota; Bacteroidia; Bacteroidales; Bacteroidaceae.